Molecule: unclassified non-coding RNA, 214 nt
Filed under: plant metagenome
Description: partial contains small subunit ribosomal RNA and internal transcribed spacer 1
Rfam family: Eukaryotic small subunit ribosomal RNA (bases 1-46)
Source: RNAcentral
AAGUCGUAACAAGGUUUCCGUAGGUGAACCUGCGGAAGGAUCAUUAUAGAGAUUGGUUGGGUAACACCUUCUAAACCUCCCACCCUUUGUUUACAUUACCUUUGUUGCUUUGGCAGGCCCGUCUUUAGACCACCGGCCUUGGCUGGUCAGCGCCUGCCAGAGGACCUAAAACUCUGUUUAAUUGUAUUGUCUGAGUACUAUAUAAUAGUUAAAA